Molecule: long non-coding RNA, 454 nt
Organism: Engraulis encrasicolus (European anchovy)
Lineage: Eukaryota; Metazoa; Chordata; Actinopteri; Clupeiformes; Engraulidae
Exons: 3
Source: RefSeq, a predicted model, not a curated record
CCUGAGGUUUUGGGAAAAGGGAUGUUGUAGGCUAAUAAUGUUGGAUUGCUUUUGUUACACCUGUGCUUCAUUUGUGUGUUUCAAUUUUAUGUUGGCCAGGCCUACUUUACAAGGACUACAGAAGAAAUGGGAUCCCAAAAUGGAACUGGAAGCAGAUCAUGGGUCACACCAUGCAACCAAACACUUUCUGCACCGCUGAGCGAAAAAGAGAUGCAAUACUUCACACCCUGAAGAUGUACCUGGGGGGAAUUGCCAGAAGAUUUUUUUUUUUGGCGAAGAUGAAGCAUGGCAGGACUGAGUGUAGGCUAUAUAUACACUGCAGGCCCUGGGGGGAGCUUUUGGUUGUAUUCUUCAUGUAAGAGAUGUAUCUAAAGCUGUGAGACACUUGUUAUUAGAAUGUAAUAUUACUGAUAUUUGUGGUGUUAACUAAAUAGAUUGAUACAUUGACCAAAAA